CUUUGUGUCUCAGGCAGGGAGAAGUGGCCCUGUGAAGGUUGCUUUUUGAGGUCAGAACUAAAACAGAGAUGAAAGAAACUCGUAAUCCAGUCGGGCGUGUGGGGAGAAGAUGUCUCUGAUGGAGUGAAACCAGGCUGACCAUGGGGAUAAGCUGUAAACCGGUUAUCUGGUGAGGAGCAGUCAGGAAGUGAGAACAUAAAUAAUAUGGGAGUUACAAAAGACAAAGCAAGAGGAGAGACUGAACAUGUCCCCACUCUCAGAGAUGGAGAAAAACCAAGAAUAAAAACAAGACAAAAUAAUAUCACAGGAGAAUCCUGAGAAAUCAAUUUCAUGAAGUUGUAAAAUUCUGUUUUGAGCUCUGAAGCUUCCAACAUGUCAAACAGAAGCCUUUAGCCCCCGAUAACCCUGUGAUUUCAGCCUCUGAGACUGACGUGAGAACAUCCUUCGGGAGGCUGAACCCAUGGAAUGCAUCCAGCCCAGAUGGGGUACCUGGCUGAGUACUAAAGACUUGUGCUGAUCAACUGCCUGGAGCAUUCACUGAGACCCUUAACCUCUCACUUCAGCGGUCUGAGGUACCUAAAUGCUUCAAGUAGGCUUCAAUUAUACUGGAGGCUGGUAACCUGCCUGAGUGGCUAUCAACUUGUAGCACUUACAUCUACUGAGACGAAAUGCUUUGAGAAGUUGGUGAUGAAACAUAACAACUCCUGCCUGAGAAGAACUUGGAUCUGCUCCAAUUUGCCUGUUGACACAAUAGGUCUACAGCAGAGGCUAUUUCAUUGGCUCUUCACUAAACCUUGGAACAUCAGGACAGCAAAGUUGCAUAAAACAGGAUUUUCUUUAUUGACUACAGCUCGGUAUUCAAUGCUAUUAUUCCCUCAAAAUGGAUCAAUUGGCUUCAUAACCUUUGCCUUGAUACCUCCUUGUGCAAAUGGAUCCUCGAUUUCCUCAUUUGCAGGCCCCAGUCAGUUUGAUGUAGCAACAACAUCUCCUCCACAAUCUCCAUCAGCACAGGUGUACUACAAGGCUGUGUGCUUGGCCCCCUGCUCUACUCGCUUUAUACUGAUUACUGAGAGGCUGAGCACAGCCCCAAUGCCAUAUUUAAGUUUGCUCAUGACACCACUGUUGUUGGCCAAAUCAAAAGUGGUAAUGAAUCAGCAUAUAGGAGCAAGAUUGAAAAUCUGGCUGAGCUGUGCCACAACAACAACCUCUCACUCAAUGUCAGCAAAGAACUGAUUAUUGACUUCAGAAGGAGGAAACCAGUGGUCUGUGAGCCAGUCCUCAUCAAGGAUCAGGGGAGGAGGCUCCUUUAAAUUCUGUGUUGUCAUUAUUUCAAAGGAUAUAUCCUGGGCUAAAAACAUAAGCAAAAUUAUGAAGAAAACACAGCAGUGCCUCUACUUCCUUAAAAGUUUGCGGAGAUUUGGCAUUAUAUCUAAAACUUCCGACAAAUUUCUAAAGAUGCGUGGUGGAGAGUAUAAUUAACCAGUUGCAUCAUGGCCUGCUAUACAAACAACAACGAUCUUGGACGGAAAACCCUACAAAAGGUAGUGGAAUUAGCCCAAUCCAUCACAGGUAAAGCCCACCCCAGCUCUGAGCACAUCUGCAUGGAGCACUGUCGCGGGAAAGCAGCGUCCAUCAUCAAGACCCACAGCAUCAGGCUCAUGAACAGUUAUUUUCCCUCAUCCAUCAGGCUCUUGGACCAGUGGGGAUAAUUUCACUCGACUUCACUCACCCCAUCCUGAACUGUUCCCGCAAACCAUGGACUUGCUUUCAAGGACUCUUCAUCUCAUGUUCUGAAUAUUUAUUGUUUAUUUAUUUUUAUUCCUUUGUAUUUGCUCCACUUGGUGUCCUUUGCACACUGGUUGCUUGUCUGUCCUGACGAAGGGUCUCGAUGCGAAACAUUGACUGCUCCUUUCAACGGAUGCUGCCCGACCUGCUGAAUUCAUCCAGCUUGUUUGUACGUCUUGAUCUGAUCACAGCAUCUGCAGUGCACCUUGGUUGCUUGUCUG
Molecule: long non-coding RNA, 2006 nt
Organism: Hypanus sabinus (Atlantic stingray)
Lineage: Eukaryota; Metazoa; Chordata; Chondrichthyes; Myliobatiformes; Dasyatidae
Exons: 3
Source: RefSeq, a predicted model, not a curated record